Arachis ipaensis is the source of this 332-nucleotide non-coding RNA. The record is from RefSeq and is a predicted model, not a curated record. NCBI's taxonomy places the organism in Eukaryota, Viridiplantae, Streptophyta, Magnoliopsida, Fabales, Fabaceae.
GGAAUUACUGCGGAUUAUUGGAGAUGGUUCCUUGAUUAUCGCAACAGUGAAGAAACAAAGGAGAAGUGUAGAAAAAAUGCUGAGAAUCGAUCGAAGCAGUUAUACACUCAUACUGGCGGAUCAAAAAGCUUGGCAAGGCUCGGAGAAGAAGAGUCAGAACGACAAGGGCGUCCAGUUAGUAGGGGGAGUUGUUUGUCUUAACGCACAAACGAUCUAAUGGAUCCUAUCUCCAUGAUGCAGCUCGGGCUAUUGGUGUAAGAAAGAAUUGUGGAGAUUGAGCAACAUGAUGAAUCAUCUAGACUGUUGUCUCAGAAUGAUUCACUUGCUCAAGC